CUGCGAAUGGCUCAUUAAAUCAGUUAUCGUUUAUUUGAUAGUACCUUGCUACAUGGAUACCUGUGGUAAUUCUAGAGCUAAUACAUGCUAAAAACCCCGACUUCAGGAAGGGGUGUAUUUAUUAGAUAAAAAACCAACGCCCUUCGGGGCUCCUUGGUGAAUCAUAAUAACUUAACGAAUCGCAUGGCCUUGCGCCGGCGAUGGUUCAUUCAAAUUUCUGCCCUAUCAACUUUCGAUGGUAGGAUAGUGGCCUACCAUGGUGGCAACGGGUAACGGGGAAUUAGGGUUCGAUUCCGGAGAGGGAGCCUGAGAAACGGCUACCACAUCCAAGGAAGGCAGCAGGCGCGCAAAUUACCCAAUCCCGAUACGGGGAGGUAGUGACAAUAAAUACUGAUACGGGGCUCUUUUGGGUCUCGUAAUUGGAAUGAGAACAAUUUAAAUCCCUUAACGAGGAACAAUUGGAGGGCAAGUCUGGUGCCAGCAGCCGCGGUAAUUCCAGCUCCAAUAGCGUAUAUUUAAAGUUGUUGCAGUUAAAAAGCUCGUAGUUGAACCUUGGCCCUGGCUGGCCGGUCCGCCUCACCGCGAGUACUGGUCCGGCUGGGGCUUUCCUUCUGGGGAACCUCAUGGCCUUCACU
RNAcentral lists this ribosomal RNA (635 nucleotides) under Penicillium polonicum. Its description in RNAcentral is "SSU rRNA". It matches the Rfam family "Eukaryotic small subunit ribosomal RNA", at positions 87 to 723 of the family's 1831-position model. The record is from RNAcentral. Lineage: Eukaryota; Fungi; Ascomycota; Eurotiomycetes; Eurotiales; Aspergillaceae.